UACGGGGGGGGCAAGCGUUGUUCGGAAUUACUGGGCGUAAAGGGCUCGUAGGCGGCCAACUAAGUCAGACGUGAAAUCCCUCGGCUUAACCGGGGAACUGCGUCUGAUACUGGAUGGCUCGAGAUUGGGAGAGGGAUGCGGAAUUCCAGGUGUAGCGGUGAAAUGCGUAGAUAUCUGGAGGAACACCGGUGGCGAAGGCGGCAUCCUGGACCAACACUGACGCUGAGGAGCGAAAGCCAGGGGAGCGAACGGG
RNAcentral lists this ribosomal RNA (253 nucleotides) under uncultured bacterium. Its description in RNAcentral is "partial 16S ribosomal RNA". It matches the Rfam family "Bacterial small subunit ribosomal RNA", at positions 524 to 776 of the family's 1533-position model. The record is from RNAcentral.